GUCUGGAAAGUACGUCCAAGACCCAAUCAUAGUCAAGGACCAAAUAUUUAUGCCUGGAAAAGCCCUGAAAAGCCAGGCAAGACCUUGGUCCUAAUAUACUCAGUAUUAGGCUAAGGGAUUAGGCUUAAGAGAAAAAAGCCCAGAAAUGCGAGGGCGACUUGGGGAUUUAGACUCAAGAAUAAGGCUUACAUGCAAAUGCCAGAUCAGAACCAAACCAGUAAAAAGGUAGAAAUCAUGCUAAGUCCUUGGAAUAUUGAACUCGAGUUCACCAAAUGUCCUCUAAUCAAGAUCAAAAUGAUUUUUAGAUCCCGGGGCAGGACUGAAUCUGCAGAGAGAGGCCACAUGACACCAGAUGUGAAGAAGGGAGAUGUGAGAAAUCAUCACUUUUGAAUGAGAUUUUCCUCUCGUUUUGCAUCUGCAGCAAAUCUCUCUCUGGACAACAACCUGGAAGCUAUCCUCUCAGCUUAAAGUCAUUGUCACAACUGUGCGGAAGAUAGUUAACAUUCUUCUCAGUUCUUCGCAAUUGCUGGUCAAUAUCUUUCCUCGAGUGAAAUCCAUGUAAACUUCAAACAACAAAUCACAAGGCAGCUCGGCAUGAUGACUCUAGUUAAG
Prionailurus viverrinus (fishing cat) is the source of this 612-nucleotide long non-coding RNA. RefSeq lists it as uncharacterized. NCBI's taxonomy places the organism in Eukaryota, Metazoa, Chordata, Mammalia, Carnivora, Felidae. The transcript is spliced from 3 exons. The record is from RefSeq and is a predicted model, not a curated record.